GUAAAGCACUUUCAGUCGUGAGGAAGGCGGGUACGUUAAUAGCGUAUUCGUUUGACGUUAGCGACAGAAGAAAGCACCGGCUAACUCCGUGCCAGCAGCCGCGGUAAUACGGAGGGUGCGAGCGUUAAUACGGAAUUACUGGGCGUAAAGACGCAUGCAGGUGGUUUGUUAAGUCAGAUGUGAAAGACCCGGGGCGUCAACCUACGGAAGUAGCAUUUAGUAAACUAGGCAGACUAGAGUACUGUAGAGGGGGGUAGGAAUUUCAGGUGUAGCGGUGAAAUGCGUAGAGAUCUGAAGGAAUACCGGUGGCGAAGGCGGCCCCCUGGACAGAUACUGACACUCAGAUGCGAAAGCGUGGGGAGCAAACAGGAUUAGAUACCCUGGUAG
This 387-nucleotide ribosomal RNA is filed under the name uncultured bacterium. RNAcentral describes it as "bacterial SSU rRNA". It matches the Rfam family "Bacterial small subunit ribosomal RNA", at positions 425 to 793 of the family's 1533-position model. The record is from RNAcentral.